GGAAUAUUGGUCAAUGGGCGAGAGCCUGAACCAGCCAAGUAGCGUGCAGGAUGACGGCCCUAUGGGUUGUAAACUGCUUUUAUACGGGGAUAAAGUGAGGGACGUGUCCCUUAUUGUAGGUACCGUAUGAAUAAGGACCGGCUAAUUCCGUGCCAGCAGCCGCGGUAAUACGGAAGGUCCGGGCGUUAUCCGGAUUUAUUGGGUUUAAAGGGAGCGCAGGCGGGAGCUUAAGCGUGACGUGAAAUGUAGCCGCUCAACGGCUGAGUUGCGUCGCGAACUGGGUUUCUUGAGUGAGUACGACGCGGACGGAAUUCGUGGUGUAGCGGUGAAAUGCUUAGAUAUCACGAAGAACUCCGAUUGCGAAGGCAGCCAACAAGGCCUUUACUGACGCUAAAGCUCGAAGGUGCGGGUAUCGAACA
This 419-nucleotide ribosomal RNA is filed under the name uncultured Prevotella sp. RNAcentral describes it as "bacterial SSU rRNA". It matches the Rfam family "Bacterial small subunit ribosomal RNA", at positions 358 to 774 of the family's 1533-position model. Lineage: Bacteria; Pseudomonadati; Bacteroidota; Bacteroidia; Bacteroidales; Prevotellaceae. The record is from RNAcentral.